GGUUCGGGCGCGCGCCAGUGGGACGGUGCGCAGGUAUAGGACCGGUCGUCAUCCGACCCGGCGCUGCCGGCCUUCUCCCGGGGCCAGCGGC
Molecule: regulatory RNA element, 91 nt
Organism: Dinoroseobacter shibae
Lineage: Bacteria; Pseudomonadati; Pseudomonadota; Alphaproteobacteria; Rhodobacterales; Roseobacteraceae
Rfam family: Rhodo-rpoB RNA
Source: Rfam